CCUACGGGUGGCAGCAGUGGGGAAUAUUGCACAAUGGGGGAAACCCUGAUGCAGCGACGCCGCGUGAGUGAAGAAGUAUUUCGGUAUGUAAAGCUCUAUCAGCAGGGAAGAAAGUGACGGUACCUGAUUAAGAAGCCCCGGCUAACUACGUGCCAGCAGCCGCGGGAAUACGUAGGGGGCACGCGUUAUCCGGAUUUACUGGGGGUAAAGGGAGCGUAGACGGCAGCACAAGUCUGGAGUGAAAUGCCGGGGCUUAACCCCGGAACGGCUUUGGAAACUGUGCAGCUAGAGUGCAGGAGAGGGAAGUGGAAUUCCUAGUGUAGCGGUGAAAUGCGUAGAUAUUAGGAGGAACACCAGUGGCGAAGGCGGCUGACUGGACUGUAACUGACGUUGAGGCUCGAAAGCGUGGGGAGCAAACAGGAUUAGAUACCCGAGUAGUC
Molecule: ribosomal RNA, 440 nt
Filed under: uncultured bacterium
Lineage: Bacteria
Description: partial 16S ribosomal RNA
Rfam family: Bacterial small subunit ribosomal RNA
Source: RNAcentral